CGUGCGCACUGGCGACGCCGACUCCGAGGGCCAAGUGAGCGAUGGGCUCAAGAUGGAGGCGGGGGAGAAAGAAAGGAGAUCGCCGCCGAAAAGAGAUGAGCCCACUACUUCUCGUCUUCGAAUUGCGCCAGCCCCGAGCUGUUGGCCAGGAUGGGAAGAUUCAUGAGACCUGUGCCGAAGCCAACCAGCGGCAGCGGAGACCGCGGACCGAAGAUGAUACCGCAGCGUCCUGAGCUUGAAGCACAGCGACGGCGGCACGUUUCGGUGCGGCGCCCUCCGUGUGAUGCUGCCAUCCUGUGGUCGAAGGGGAGAACUUCCGCCGAGGCUUCAGAACGACCAUCCAGCUCAACAAGGACCCGUUGGAAAACGCAGUACAAGUAUGGAGAGAAAACGUUUUUGAAGCUUUUUGCUGUGUCCCCCUGCAAUGUUCUGAUCGGGUCCUUUUCAAGUGAGGAUUCAUUGACCGAAGAGAAAUAGCUACCCCAGCGAUGCGGAAGCAGUGUGACGAGCAACAAGCAAGCUCCUAUGGAGGCCAGCGUUCGCCAAUGCAAAGGCAACCACCUCCAGCAUGGUCGUUUUGGCAACAAGACUGCCACUUAUCUGCUCAGGUUUGACUCUUAUCCCAAAAGGGAUACACGGAUAACAGAGGUCCCGCGGGGAGAUGGGCCUCUGAUGGAGAUCCGUCCUGGGCGACCUUCCACCGCUACCGCCUCUUCCUCCACCUUCGCCCACUCCUCCCCCUGGAGGGGGAGAGAGAGCUUGAUGUACAGGGAGAGUGUGGCUCAACGCUCCCAUGAGACGCCCACCUAAUGCUACCGGAGGCUCACCGGAGAUGACGAAGAGCUUCGCCUCUUCACAAAUGGCUUGGCUCGGCCACUCCCGCUUACGGCCGUGGCUGGUGACGUACCCGAGAUGGCGGCAAGUCGCGGAUGGCAACCGUUGCAGACUCUUCACUGGAUGCGGCGGUCCUGUGCAAAGCGAGUACGCGAGCCUGAAAAGUAUGGAGCCCAGCGCAGGUGAAUAUGAAACUCUGCACAA
Long non-coding RNA from Hippocampus comes (tiger tail seahorse), 1038 nucleotides. RefSeq lists it as uncharacterized. Lineage: Eukaryota; Metazoa; Chordata; Actinopteri; Syngnathiformes; Syngnathidae. The record is from RefSeq and is a predicted model, not a curated record. The transcript has 7 exons.